RNAcentral lists this ribosomal RNA (4544 nucleotides) under Candidatus Nomurabacteria bacterium RBG_16_40_11. RNAcentral describes it as "bacterial LSU rRNA". It matches the Rfam family "Bacterial large subunit ribosomal RNA". Lineage: Bacteria; Candidatus Nomuraibacteriota. The record is from RNAcentral.
GAAAUUUAAGGGCGUACGGUGGAUGCCUUGACUUUAAGAGGCGAUGAAGGACGUGGCGUUGCUGCGAUAAGCUUCGGGGAGGUGCUUAGCAACCUUUGAUCCGGAGAUUUCCGAAUGGGGAAACCCUGUUCCAUUUAAACGGAACAAUUUUUAUCUUUAUGAUAAAAGAGCGCACCCUGGGAAGUGAAACAUCUCAGUACCAGGAGGAAAAUAAACCAACGCGUGCGUAGCACGCGGUAUUUAAAUAUUUAAAUGUUUAAAUCUCGCGUGUUACGCACGCACAUUUCCCCAGUAGCGGCGAGCGAAAAGGAAGAAGCCCAAACUUCGACGCAAGUCGGAGGGUUGUAAGGUAGCAGUUUUUAUUUAAUUAGAGAGGAGUCAAAAAAUAAGUUAUUAGCUUAAAUUGCUGGAAAGCGACACCAUAGAGGGUGAUAGUCCCGUAAGCGAAAAUAAUUUAUCUCUUUUAUUGCUAUUCUUGAGUACCCCAGGACAUGAAUGGCCGGGGGGAAUCUAGCGGAACUAACCGCUAAGGCUAAAUACUCUUAAAGAUCGAUAGUGAACUAGUACCGUGAGGGAAAGGUGAAAAGCAGCCCGAUUAGGGCGGUGAAAUAGACCUGAAACCGUAUGUUUACAAGGAGUCGAUGCUCCGCUUCGGCGGGGCUACGGCGUGCCUAUUGAAGAAUGAGCCAACGAGUUUAUUCAUACUGCUGGUGAAGUGGACUAAAACCACAGAACCAUAGGGAAACCGAGUGUUAAUAGCGCGCAGUCGCGGAGCGAAAGCAAUGUGACAGUAUAGUAGUAUGCAUAAGACCCGAAACUAGGUGAGCUUGCCAUGAGCAGGAUGAAGUGCCGCGAAAGCGGCAUGGAGGUCCGAACCGGUAGAUCGUACAACGUCUUCGGAUGACUUGUGGUAAGGAGUGAAAAGCUAAUCGAACCUAGUAAUAGCUGGUUCUCUCCGAAAUAGCUUUAGGGCUAGCGUCAAAUGUUUUCUCUGGGGGUAGAGCACUGGAAGAUUCGGACAGGUCGCAAGAUCGCUGAACCUAUCAAACUCCGAAUACCAGAGACCAUAGUUUGGCAGUUAGGCCAUGGGGGCGAAGCUCCAUUGGCCAAAAGGGAAACAGCCCAGAUCUCAAUAUAAGGUCCCUAAAUUCAUGCUAAGUGUAAAAUAAGAAGGUGGAGUUUCUUAAACAAUGAGGAGGUUGGCUUAGAAGCAGCCAUCCUUUAAAGAUAGCGUAACAGCUCACUCAUCUAGAGAUUUUGCGUCGAAAAUAAUUGGGGCUAAGCAUGAUACCGAAUGUGAGGAUUUUAGAAGUCUACGGACACCUAAAGUGGUAGGAGAGUGUUCCACUCUGCUGUGAAGGAGUACUCGUGAGAGACUCUGGAGCGUGUGGAAGUAAGAAUGUUGGCACAAGUAACCGCAAUGACGCUGAGAACGCGUCACGUCGAAAGAUCAAGGUUUCCUUGGUAAUGUCAAUCAGCCAAGGGUUAGUCGGGCCUAAGGGAAUGGCGAAAGCCGUACUCGAUGGGCAGUAGGUUAAUAUUCCUACACUUUUGUAUUUUGUGACGGGAUGACGGAGGGUAGUAUGUAUCGCUCAUUAUUGGAUUUGAAGUUCGUGUCUUGAUUAUGCUCUAUAGGAAAAUCCGUAGAGUGCCUUAGAUGGCGCAUGAAAGAGAAGCGAAAAGUUUUAUUCUUCGGGAUAAGAUAAUGAUACAAAGCACGCUUCCAAGAAAAAUCUCUAAACUUAUGAAUAUAGAAUCCGUACCGCAAACCGACACAGGUGAUCAGGUCGAUUAGACCAAGACGAACGAGUGAGUGGUCCCCAAGGAACUCGGCAAAAAAGCAGCCGUAACUUCGGGAUAAGGCUUCCCCAUGCAUCACAUUGCAUGUGAUGCGAAAUUUAAAUGUUGAAAUAUUUAAAUAUUUAAAUCUCGCAUCGCGCGUAGCGUGAUGCAUGGGGCGCAGUGAAAGUAUCUCUGGCAACUGUUUACCAAAAACACAGCUCCCUGCGAACUCGUAAGAGGAUGUAUAGGGGGUGACACCUGACCAAUGCCAGAAGGUCAAAUAUAGCCGUUGUGCGCAUCACAUUGCAUGUGAUGCUGAUGUUUAAACAUUUAAAUAUUUAAAUUUCAGCAUCGCGCGUAGCGCGAUGCGCAUGGUGAGUUAUAUAAGCCCUGGUGAAUGUCGGCCGUAACUAUAACGGUCCUAAGGUCCUGACGUUUUGAUCUCAAAUCAAGACGGAAGGAUGACUGGGACUGUUGUAGAAAAAGGUAAAUAAUUAAAUUAAAAAAUUAUUAGAUUAUUCGAAUGCUACCUGCUUUGCAGUAAUGCAAAGACAGUCAAAACUUGGCUAACGAGAGACCAGCGUCAAGUACCCUAACUUCUAACGAAGUGGGUAAAGAUAGAGUCCUUCUUAGGAGUAGAAGAGCGAAAUUCCUUGUCGGGUAAGUUCCGACGCGCACGAAUGGUGUAAUGACUGGAGAACUGUCUCGGGGACCAGCUCGGUGAAAAUACAAUACCGGUGAAGAUGCCGGUUAAGUGCAGUUAGACGAAAAGACCCUAUGAAGCUUUACUAUAACUUUAUAUUGAGCAUAUUUUUGGACUGCGUAGAAUAGAUGGGAGAGGUCUGAUGGAUUCGUUUUCGGAUGAAUUCUACUCGUCAGUGAAAUACCAUUCUUUUUGAGGAUAUGUUCUAACCAAAACGGCAAAAACGUUUUGAGACAGUAUAUGGCGGAUAGUUUUACUGGGGCUGUACCCUCGAGUACUUGAAACACCUCAUCCCCCGCCUUCCCCUGAAAGGGGAAGGGGCACCCUCUCCUUUCAGGAGAGGGCAGGGUGAGGUUGGGUUUUGAGUAUUCGAAUUUUACAGCUCCAAUGUCAAAGAGACUCUUUGACAUGAAACAAAAAUAGGGGGGCUUUCACGAAACAGAUAGAGUUUUAGACUCUAGACAGAGGCUAAACCUCUGUCUGUAUCAAAAUUGUGAUUGGAAAGUUGGGAAUUUGCUGGAAAAACCGGUUAAAACAUUCUUAAUUACAAAAUGUUCACCCGACCCUAGAGCAAACAAAGAUUGCUCGGGUUUAGGGGGUAUGGUAUACUACUUGCAUUAGUAAGUAACAAUGUAUACCUGCGGUUAAUCAGCAGGGAAAUAAAAUUAUAUGGGAGAAAAUGCACCAAAACAAGAAGCACCUUCAAUUAAAUCUUUAUUGACAAAAAGACAGAAAGAUUCUUUCAUAAAAUUUUUCGGUCAAAAUUGGUAUGAAAGAAUAGACGCUUUAACUCCACAAGAAUGGGAAAAGGUACGUCAAACAGCCGAAGAUUUAAAAGAAAUAGGACGUUUCCUUAUAAAGUAAAAAAACUAAUUAAAAUAAUUCCCUCAGAGACUACAAACCAACCUCGCCUCAUCGGCGAGAAUGUAUAGUCCGAUCUUCAUGGCGACAUGAAGUUAACACAAAUGCCUAAAAAGUAAAGGAGGGGUUUAAAGGUCAGCUAGGCGCGAAUGGAAACCGUGCCGAUAGUGUAUGAGCACAAGCUGGCUUGACUGUAAGACGUACUUGUCAAGCAGGUGGGAAACCAGAAUCAAGUGAACCGACCACCCGUGUUAGACGCGGUGGAAGAUUAACGGAUAAAAGCUACUCUAGGGAUAACAGGCUAGUUCCGCCCAAGAGUUCAUAUCGACGGCGGAGUUCGGCACCUCGAUGUCGGCUCACCUUAGCGCGGCGGCGGAGAAGCUGCCAAGCGUUUGGCUGUUCGCCAAUUAAAAAGGUACGCGAGCUGGGUUCAGACCGUCGAAAAGCGAAGCUUUUCGACAAGUAAAAAGUUAUAAAGUCGAAAGUAAAAAGUUUGGCUGAUCGACAGUUUGAACCCUCAGAGGCUAAAACAUUUGCUUUGCAAAUGUUCGCCCGAACCUAGAACAAACGAAGUUUGUUCGGUUUUAGGGAAGAAAAAAUUACUGUUUUAAUCGAAGACAACCAAGUGCAUUAAAUUGCACACACGGCGGCGUCCCGAUGUAAAUCGGGAUGGCAAGCUAAUUUAUAUCGGAGAAAUCCCUAGAACUUUUGUAAACAAAAGUUCGGGCGAUAGUUUGCUUUGCAAAUUAUUUAGCCUACUAAAUUUUUAGGGAUAACGCCGAGGGAAUUCCCAUAAAUGGGAUGCCCGUAGAGACUGAAUGUUAGACAUCCUGAGCUUGUCGAAGGAUGAUGUCACAGUCCAAUCCCACGAGUAAUCGUGGACAUCCUAACCCGAUAGCGGGCGGAUAAAUAGAUGCGUGAGACAGGUUGGUCUCCUAUCUACUGCACUCGUUGAUUCUUGAAAAGAUCUGCUUCUAGUACGAGAGGACCGAAGUGGACUGACCUCUGGUGUGCCUGCUGUUCUGCCAAGAGCAAUGCAGGGUAGCUAUGUCGGGAAUGGAUAACCUCUGAAAGCAUCUAAGAGGGAAGCCAGCUUUAAGAUUAGGAAUCGUUAAGAACCGUGAGAGAUGAUCACGUUGAUAGGCUUUAAGUGUAAGGCGAGUAAUCGCUUGAGCUGAGAAGUACUAAUGUUUCGAUU